This 1375-nucleotide ribosomal RNA is filed under the name uncultured bacterium. RNAcentral describes it as "bacterial SSU rRNA". It matches the Rfam family "Bacterial small subunit ribosomal RNA". The record is from RNAcentral.
CCUUAGAGUUUGAUCCUGGCUCAGGACGAACGCUGGCGGCACGCUUAACACAUGCAAGUCGAACGAGAGAAGAGAAGCUUGCUUUUCUGAUCUAGUGGCGGACGGGUGAGUAACACGUGAGCAAUCUGCCUUUCAGAGGGGGAUACCGAUUGGAAACGAUCGUUAAUACCGCAUAACAUAAUUGAACCGCAUGAUUUGAUUAUCAAAGAUUUAUCGCUGAAAGAUGAGCUCGCGUCUGAUUAGCUAGUUGGUAAGGUAACGGCUUACCAAGGCGACGAUCAGUAGCCGGACUGAGAGGUUGAUCGGCCACAUUGGGACUGAGACACGGCCCAGACUCCUACGGGAGGCAGCAGUGGGGAAUAUUGCACAAUGGAGGAAACUCUGAUGCAGCGAUGCCGCGUGAGGGAAGAAGGUUUUAGGAUUGUAAACCUCUGUCUUUGGGGACGAAAAAUGACGGUACCCAAGGAGGAAGCUCCGGCUAACUACGUGCCAGCAGCCGCGGUAAUACGUAGGGAGCGAGCGUUGUCCGGAAUUACUGGGUGUAGAGGGAGCGUAGGCGGGAUCGCAAGUCAGAUGUGAAAACUAUGGGCUUAACCCAUAAACUGCAUUUGAAACUGUGGUUCUUGAGUGAAGUAGAGGUAAGCGGAAUUCCUAGUGUAGCGGUGAAAUGCGUAGAUAUUAGGAGGAACAUCAGUGGCGAAGGCGGCUUACUGGGCUUUAACUGACGCUGAGGCUCGAAAGCGUGGGGAGCAAACAGGAUUAGAUACCCUGGUAGUCCACGCCGUAAACGAUGAUUACUAGGUGUGGGGGGACUGACCCCUUCCGUGCCGCAGCAAACGCAAUAAGUAAUCCACCUGGGGAGUACGACCGCAAGGUUGAAACUCAAAGGAAUUGACGGGGGCCCGCACAAGCAGUGGAGUAUGUGGAUUAAUUCGAAGCAACGCGAAGAACCUUACCAGGUCUUGACAUCGUAUGCAUAGCUCAGAGAUGAGUGAAAUCUCUUCGGAGACAUAUAGACAGGUGGUGCAUGGUUGUCGUCAGCUCGUGUCGUGAGAUGUUGGGUUAAGUCCCGCAACGAGCGCAACCCUUACUGUUAGUUGCUACGCAAGAGCACUCUAGCAGGACUGCCGUUGACAAAACGGAGGAAGGUGGGGAUGACGUCAAAUCAUCAUGCCCCUUAUGACCUGGGCCUCACACGUACUACAAUGGCGUAAACAAAGGGAAGCGAGAUUGUGAGAUGGAGCAAAUCCCAAAAAUAACGUCCCAGUUCGGACUGUAGUCUGCAACCCGACUACACGAAGCUGGAAUCGCUAGUAAUCGCGGAUCAGAAUGCCGCGGUGAAUACGUUCCCGGGUCUUGCACUCACCGCCCGUCA